Molecule: long non-coding RNA, 1342 nt
Organism: Gopherus evgoodei (Goodes thornscrub tortoise)
Lineage: Eukaryota; Metazoa; Chordata; Testudines; Testudinidae
Exons: 4
Source: RefSeq, a predicted model, not a curated record
UCCCAACACUCCCAGCCCAACACAACCUGCACCCCACUCUGUCCCUAGAUCUGUGGGCCCCCAGUGCCCUUUUGUCCUUUCUCCAACAUGCAUCCCUAUCCCUACCUUACUCCCCCCCUCCCUCCCUCCAUCCAUGGGGCCCCUCAGCCCUUCUCUCUCCUUCCUCCACAACACAAACCCUUCAUAGGACAUGGGCAGGGAUGCUAGGUGUACAUCCCCACAGGCCAGGUCUCGGGAGCCAUGGAGAAGUAGGAGUGGACGAAAAACAUGCGGAGUAGUGGAUGUUUGCAGAGGAAUCGUCCAGGAGCUCUAGCCAGAUAAGAAUAUGGCAGAAAUGGACUUGAGCAGCCUGGACAUCCUUCUAAGGAUACAUAAACAGUCCUCAUGUUUCUGCCUUCUGCAUCCCUGGCUUACCAAGGGAAAAGAAAUCAAACAUCAGAGUUUACUCUCCUCAUCGGAUGGAAAGCGAGCGAGAGCAGUGAGCCCGCGAGCAUUGUUGAUGCAAGUGAAGAGCCGUCCGGUUGGCAGUUGCUACUGUCAGUGAGAUACAUGUCUGGUUUCGAGAGGGCUCUGCUCAUGACCCGCCUGGCUCCAGAUAGGGCUGCCCCAUUGGCUGGGGCUGGGUUUGUGAGAAAUGCUUCCUGACCAGCUGUGCUUACGAGAGAGACAAGUUCCCCAUUUUCAGGGGCUGCUCAGUUCUCUGGCCAGGAGCAGUGUGUCCUCCACAGCAGAAGGUUGCAUCUAGGAGAUUGACUUCAGCUGUGUUUCCAGAGGAAUCUUCCAGGAGCCCUAGACCAAGGAGAAAGUGGCAGAAGUGGACAUGAACAGACUAGACAGCCUUCUAAGGACACAUGAACAGUUCUCAGCUUUCUGACUCCCGCAUAACUGGCUGUGAGUAAGCGGUCAGUGGUCUGAAUUCCUCAUCUGCGCUCACUGUAGUACUCUUCACAGGCCUUGUGCUUCCUCGUUGGGUGCAGGACUCUGUGAGAUUACGUCUGGGGAGGGGCCAGAGUCUGCUGUGCAGAGUGAUUAUUUUGGGUGCUGUUGCAAGGGGUGCUUUUUGAUUGUAAUGCUAAAGGUGUGAUGGGGAGGGCGGAGCUCGGUCGUGUGGGUGAGACAAAAAGAGGAGCCUAUGAGACGUUGCCUACUGAGAUGGUAACAUGCUUGUUUUUUCCCCGCUUGUGCCGGGUUUAGUACCAAGGAGAAAGAAGUCAAGUGUCACAGUCUACUGCCCUCGUGCAAUGUAAAGUGAGCGAGAGCAGCGAGCCUGUGAGCACUGUUGAUGCCAGGCAAGAUCUGAGCAGAUGCCACUCUCAAUGAGAUAAGUGUCUGUCAUAACUCU